CCUACGGGCGGCAGCAGUGGGGAAUAUUGCACAAUGGGGGAAACCCUGAUGCAGCAACGCCGCGUGAGUGCAGAAGUAUUUCGGUAUGUAAAGCUCUAUCAGCAGGGAAGAAGAUGACGGUACCUGAAUAAGAAGCCCCGGCUAAUUACGUACCAGCAGCCGCGGUAAUACGUAGGGGGCAAGCGUUAUCCGGAUUUACUGGGUGGAAAGGGAGCGCAGACGGCAGUGCAAGUCUGGAGUGAAAGCCCGGGGCCCAACGCCGGAACUGCGCUGGAACCUGUGCGGAUAGAGGACUUGAGGGGCAGGCGGAAGUCCUAGUGUCGCGGUGAAAUGCGUAGAUAUUAGGAGGAACACCAGUGGCGAAGGCGGCCUGCUGGACAGUAACUGACGUUGAGGCUCGAAAGCGUGGGGAGCAAACAGGAUUAGAUACCCGAGUAGUC
RNAcentral lists this ribosomal RNA (440 nucleotides) under uncultured bacterium. Its description in RNAcentral is "partial 16S ribosomal RNA". It matches the Rfam family "Bacterial small subunit ribosomal RNA", at positions 338 to 795 of the family's 1533-position model. The record is from RNAcentral.